This is a long non-coding RNA of Melanotaenia boesemani (Boeseman's rainbowfish), 725 nucleotides long. RefSeq lists it as uncharacterized. The transcript has 5 exons. Lineage: Eukaryota; Metazoa; Chordata; Actinopteri; Atheriniformes; Melanotaeniidae. The record is from RefSeq and is a predicted model, not a curated record.
CAUCACCUGGGCGGCCACAAUAUGAGCUGCAGUAGUUCGUCUGGGGACUUGAUUUAAAUAUCUCUUUCCUCUGCAGAGAGAGGACCAUCUACCCCAGAAGUCUGGUGUCCAUGUGUCAUCUGGUCAUAGGAGUUUUGUUAGAAUGAUGUGGACGUAUACGUACAGCAUCUGGCAGGAGCUGGAACAGAGAACAAGUUGUCUUGGAGUGCUGGGGACGGGACCUGGAUUCUUCGUUCAUACUUGUCCAUGGACGUUGCAACUUGCCAUCAUGAUGGUUGGAGAACCUCUUCAGAAAAUUACUCCAAAAAGAGGCUCCGCUCCAGAGGCUGUCUAACUUCAGCCCAGAAGAAUACUAACUGGUUGUCCUGAACGUUAACAGAUGUCUGGUCGUCUCCAACCAGCAGCAUCAUCUGCAGACCAAAUUAACAGAAUUCAUUUCCUAAAGUCCAAGAAAGGCUGAUGAAGAGCAAAGUGGAGCCAACCUUCAUGGAGGGCCUUGUCUACUGAGCAGCAGGCGAAGUACUUCCAGGAGGCCAAUUUGUUGAGGCGCCAGCAUGAACUGCAACACCCCCAAUGGUCCAGCAUGGACAACUAUGUACGUACUCUGUGCUCAGACAUGAUCACCUCACUGCACUGAUGCUGAUGAAUGGUGACAGCAAAGAUUUCCUAUAAUCGGAUAUCAGAGAAAAAAUCUAAUGUGUCUUUUUCUGUGUUUUUAGGGCCAG